RNAcentral lists this ribosomal RNA (231 nucleotides) under uncultured bacterium. Its description in RNAcentral is "partial 16S ribosomal RNA". It matches the Rfam family "Bacterial small subunit ribosomal RNA", at positions 28 to 260 of the family's 1533-position model. The record is from RNAcentral.
GACGAACGCUGGCGGCGUGCUUAACACAUGCAAGUCGAGCGGUAAGGCCCUUUCGGGGGUACACGAGCGGCGAACGGGUGAGUAACACGUGGGUGACCUGCCCUCAGCUCUGGGAUAAGCCUGGGAAACCGGGUCUAAUACUGGAUAUGACUCCAUGACGCAUGUUGUGGGGUGGAAAGCCUUGUGCGGCUGAGGAUGGGCCCGCGGCCUAUCAGCUUGUUGGUGGGGUGA